Molecule: ribosomal RNA, 484 nt
Filed under: uncultured bacterium
Lineage: Bacteria
Description: partial 16S ribosomal RNA
Rfam family: Bacterial small subunit ribosomal RNA
Source: RNAcentral
AAUGAACGUUGGCGGCGUGGAUUAGGCAUGCAAGUCGUACGGACCGUGGUAGCAAUAUUACGGUUAGUGGCGCAAGGGAGAGUAAUACGUAGGUAUUUACCCUGGGGUCUGGGAUAGCGGCGGGAAACUGCCGGUAAUACCAGAUGAUAUCUCCGGAUCAAAGGUGUGAUUCCGCCCUAGGAGAAGCCUGCGGUCUAUCAGCUAGUUGGUAGGGUAACGGCCUACCAAGGCAAAGACGGAUAUGGGGCGUGAGAGCGUGCCCCCACUCACUGGGACUGAGACACUGCCCAGACCCCUACGGGUGGCUGCAGUCGAGAAGCUUCGGCAAUGGGCGCAAGCCUGACCGAGCGACGCCGCGUGCGGGAUGAAGGCCUUCGGGUUGUAAACCGCUGUCGAAGGGGAGGAGAUUGUAGUGGGUUCACCCAUUAUAUUGACCGAUCCUUGGAGGAAGGGCCGGCUAAUCUCGUGCCAGCCGCCGCAGUAA